Molecule: small nuclear RNA, 102 nt
Organism: Talpa occidentalis (Iberian mole)
Lineage: Eukaryota; Metazoa; Chordata; Mammalia; Eulipotyphla; Talpidae
Source: RefSeq, a predicted model, not a curated record
GUGUUUGCUUCAGCAACACAUAUACUAAAAUUGGAAUGAUACAGAGAAGAUUAGCAUGGUCGCUGGGCAAGGAUGACACGCAAAUUCGUGAAGCCUUCUUUU